AUUGAACGCUGGCGGCAUGCUUUACACAUGCAAGUCGAACGGUAACAGGCCUUCGGGUGCUGACGAGUGGCGCACGGGUGCGUAAUGCAUCGGAACGUACCCAGAGGUGGGGGAUAACGCAGCGAAAGCUGUGCUAAUACCGCAUGUGAUCUGAGGAUGAAAGCGGGGGACCGAGCAGCAAUGUUUGGCCUCGCGCCUUUGGAGCGGCCGAUGUCGGAUUAGCUAGUUGGUGGGGUAAAGGCCUACCAAGGCGACGAUCCGUAGCUGGUCUGAGAGGACGACCAGCCAAACUGGGACUGAGACACGGCCCAGACUCCUACGGGAGGCAGCAGUGGGGAAUUUUGGACAAUGGGCGCAAGCCUGAUCCAGCAAUGCCGCGUGCGGGAAGAAGGCCUUCGGGUUGUAAACCGCUUUUGGCAGGAACGAAACGGUGUCCGCUAAUACCGGGCGCUAAUGACGGUACCUGCAGAAUAAGCACCGGCUAACUACGUG
This 492-nucleotide ribosomal RNA is filed under the name uncultured bacterium. RNAcentral's name for it is "partial 16S ribosomal RNA". It matches the Rfam family "Bacterial small subunit ribosomal RNA", at positions 29 to 507 of the family's 1533-position model. The record is from RNAcentral.